UUCUUACUGUGGAACGUCUCCGAAAGAAUUCUUCGUGGAAACCGUAUCUUGAUAUGCUUCCCACCACUUUUGGGAAUCCGUUAUGGUUUACUGAUGAUGAGAUACUGGAAUUAAGAGGAACAAUCUUGUAUAGAGCAACUGAAUUGCGGAAAAAAGAUUUG
Molecule: long non-coding RNA, 161 nt
Organism: Hibiscus syriacus
Lineage: Eukaryota; Viridiplantae; Streptophyta; Magnoliopsida; Malvales; Malvaceae
Exons: 3
Source: RefSeq, a predicted model, not a curated record